GACGAACGCUGGCGGCGUGCCUAAUACAUGCAAGUAGAACGCUGAAGGAGGAGCUUGCUUCUCUGGAUGAGUUGCGAACGGGUGAGUAACGCGUAGGUAACCUGCCUGGUAGCGGGGGAUAACUAUUGGAAACGAUAGCUAAUACCGCAUAACAGUAGAUAUCGCAUGAUAUCUACUUGAAAGGUGCAAUUGCCUCACUACCAGAUGGACCUGCGUUGUAUUAGCUAGUUGGUGAGGUAACGGCUCACCAAGGCGACGAUACAUAGCCGACCUGAGAGGGGGGUCGGCCACACUGGGACUGAGACACGGCCCAGACUCCUACGGGAGGCAGCAGUAGGGAAUCUUCGGCAAUGGACGGAAGUCUGACCGAGCAACGCCGCGGGAGUGAAGAAGGUUUUCGGAUCGUAAAGCUCUGUUGUAAGAGAAGAACGAGUGUGAGAGUGGAAAGUUCACACUGUGACGGUAUCUUACCAGAAAGGGACGGCUAACUACGUG
This 495-nucleotide ribosomal RNA is filed under the name uncultured bacterium. RNAcentral's name for it is "partial 16S ribosomal RNA". It matches the Rfam family "Bacterial small subunit ribosomal RNA", at positions 28 to 507 of the family's 1533-position model. The record is from RNAcentral.